AGAGAGGAGGAGAGCGAGACGGACGCACCGGAGAGAGGAGGCGGGCAGGGGACACACACAGGAGAGAGGAGGCCGGCAGGGGGGGGGACACAGAAGAGAGGAGGCCGGCAGGAGAGAGGAGGCGGGCAGGGGGGGGGGACACACAGGAGAGAGGAGGCGGGCAGGGGAUACACAGAAAGGAGGAGGCCGGCAGGAGAGAGGAGGCGGGGGACACACAGGAGAGAGGAGGCGGGCAGGGGGGGGGGGCACACAGGAGAGGGGAGGCGGGCAGGGGGGACACACACAGGAGAGAGGAGGCAGGCAGGACGGACACACGGGAGUGGGAAAGCGGGCAGGGGACACAAACAGGAGAGGGAAAGCGGGCAGGGGACACAAACAGGAGAGGGAAAGCGGGCAGGGGACACAAACAGGAGAGGGAAAGCGGGCAGGAGGGACACACGGGAGAGAGGAGGAGAGAGAGACGAGCAAAGCAAGACGGACGCACAGGAGAGACGAGGAAAGCGAGACGGACGCACAGGAGAGACGAGGAAAGCGAGACGGACGCACAGGAGAGACGAGGAAAGCGAGACGGACGCACAGGAGAGACGAGGAAAGCGAGACGGACGCACAGGAGAGACGAGGAAAGCGAGACGGACGCACAGAAGAGACGAGGAAAGCGAGACGGACGCACAGGAGAGACGAGGAAAGCGAGACGAA
This is a long non-coding RNA of Bufo bufo (common toad), 696 nucleotides long. RefSeq lists it as uncharacterized. The record is from RefSeq and is a predicted model, not a curated record. The transcript has 2 exons. Lineage: Eukaryota; Metazoa; Chordata; Amphibia; Anura; Bufonidae.